AUAUAUAUAUAUAUAUAUAUAUAUAUAUACUCGGGCUGAAACAAUUAGUCGACAUUAUCGACAACGUCGACGAUAAAAAAAAAAUUGUCGGCAAAUGUUUUUGAGUAACGUUAGUUGUUUGAUCUCGUAUGCCUAAUGUGAAAGCCUCCAAUAAUGCAGUUUGACCAGUGUGGCGCUGUAGCGCAAGAUUGUAAUACACUCUCCUGAUUCAAUUCAAAAGAAGAAGAUAGCACUUCAGUUUGAGCAAACCGAGCCGAUCCGAACCUUGGAUGAAUAUAUUUGUGCAGAAUUUGAGACAUACAGAAUUACCAUAGGCCCAUUAGAAUCAACAGUCUUUGCCAAACUGGAUCCGCACUACAAAACUUAUGAAGAUGUUUGCGUACUGAAGAAGAGUGCUUGGACAAAUACUGAAACCCUCUUGGUGCCCACUACACAGGCAGGGGUGUCCAGACCUGCUCUAGGAAAGCCAGUGUUCUGUGGAGUUUAGCUCUAACUCACCUGCCUGGAACUUCUAACUAAUGAAAUUGAAGUAUCCAAAUGAAGACCCUAGCAGUAUGGAGUAUAUGGUGAGUUCAAGGUUAAUAAAUGAUUUGUUAAAGUUAAUACACAAGAAUUUGAGUUCUCCAUCCUUUUAAAUACUUCUAGGAUACAGACGUUGGCAGCAAUCAGGAGGUGAUCAAGAAGACUUGAGAAUCUAUUUGAAGCUGCAUCAUUGAAGACAGUUCAGCAGAAGUUGGAGUUUUAAAGGAUAAAGUUCUUCAGGACCUAUAGCAGUUUACAGUCUGCAAAACUAUGUUUCUGGGACUGAUAUAUGGACUGAACUUGAGCAACCCUCCUGAACUCAGGUACACAUUUGGAGUACUGAAGAAGUUAUUUCUGGAGCCAGUUCCUGUUCCUGGAAUAAGGUUUGAUUGGUUACCCAUGAAUGCCAAUUAGAAAAUGAGUAGUUUGAUAUUUCUGCUAUUUUGUGU
Long non-coding RNA from Carassius carassius (crucian carp), 971 nucleotides. RefSeq lists it as uncharacterized. The record is from RefSeq and is a predicted model, not a curated record. Lineage: Eukaryota; Metazoa; Chordata; Actinopteri; Cypriniformes; Cyprinidae. The transcript has 4 exons.